Molecule: ribosomal RNA, 403 nt
Filed under: uncultured bacterium
Lineage: Bacteria
Description: bacterial SSU rRNA
Rfam family: Bacterial small subunit ribosomal RNA
Source: RNAcentral
UAGGGAAUAUUAGUAAUGGGCGAAAGCCUGAACUAGCGACACCGCGUGUGCGAAGAAGGCCUUCGGGUUGUAAAGCACUUUUAGAGAGGAUGAGGAAGGACGGUACUCUCUGAAUAAGUCUCGGCUAACUACGUGCUAGCAGCCGCGGUAACACGUAGGAGGCAAACGUUAUCCGGAUUUACUGGGCGUAAAGCGCGUGUAGGUGGUUCUGUAAGUAGGGCGUGAAAGCUCCUGGCUCAACUGGGAGAGGCCGUUCUAAACUGCAGAGCUAGAGGAUGGUAGAGGAAGGUGGAAUUCCGGGUGUAGCGGUGGAAUGCGCAGAUAUCCGGAGGAACACCAGUGGCGAAGGCGGCCUUCUGGACCAUUCCUGACACUCAGACGCGAAAGCUAGGGUAGCAAACGG